GACGAACGCUGGCGGCGCGCCUAACACAUGCAAGUCGAACGAGAGAGAAGGAGCUUGCUUCUUCGAUCGAGUGGCGAACGGGUGAGUAACGCGUGAGGAACCUGCCUCAAAGAGGGGGACAACAGUUGGAAACGACUGCUAAUACCGCAUAAGCCCACGGAUCGGCAUCGAUCUGAGGGAAAAGGAGCAAUCCGCUUUGAGAUGGCCUCGCGUCCGAUUAGCUAGUUGGUGAGGUAACGGCCCACCAAGGCGACGAUCGGUAGCCGGACUGAGAGGUUGAACGGCCACAUUGGGACUGAGACACGGCCCAGACUCCUACGGGAGGCAGCAGUGGGGAAUAUUGCACAAUGGGGGAAACCCUGAUGCAGCGACGCCGCGUGGAGGAAGAAGGUCUUCGGAUUGUAAACUCCUGUUGUUGAGGAAGAUAAUGACGGUACUCAACAAGGAAGUGACGG
RNAcentral lists this ribosomal RNA (455 nucleotides) under uncultured bacterium. Its description in RNAcentral is "bacterial SSU rRNA". It matches the Rfam family "Bacterial small subunit ribosomal RNA", at positions 28 to 496 of the family's 1533-position model. The record is from RNAcentral.